This 253-nucleotide ribosomal RNA is filed under the name uncultured bacterium. RNAcentral describes it as "partial 16S ribosomal RNA". It matches the Rfam family "Bacterial small subunit ribosomal RNA", at positions 524 to 776 of the family's 1533-position model. The record is from RNAcentral.
UACGGAGGGUGCGAGCGUUGUCCGGAAUCACUGGGCGUAAAGGGCGCGUAGGCGGUUUGACAAGUCUGAUGUGAAAUCUCUGGGCUCAACCCAGAGUCUGCAUUAGAAACUGUCGGGCUUGAGUAUGGGAGAGGUGAGUGGAAUUUCCGGUGUAGCGGUGAAAUGCGUAGAUAUCGGAAAGAACACCAACGGCGAAAGCACUCUGCUGGGCCGACACUGACACUGAGAGACGAAAGCUAGGGGAGCGAAUGGG